UUAUAAGAGACAGCAGCCGCCGCGGUAAUACGGAGGGUGCAAGCGUUAAUCGGAAUUACUGGGCGUAAAGCGCACGCAGGCGGUCUGACAAGUCAGAUGUGAAAUCCCCGGGCUUAACCUGGGAACUGCAUUUGAAACUGUCAGGCUGGAGUCUUGUAGAGGGGGGUGGAAUUCCAGGUGUAGCGGUGAAAUGCGUAGAGAUCUGGAGGAAUACCGGUGGCGAAGGCGGCCCCCUGGACAAAGACUGACGCUCAGGUGCGAAAGCGUGGGGAGCAAACAGGAUUAGAUACCCGGGUAGUCCCUGUCUCUUAUAC
Molecule: ribosomal RNA, 314 nt
Filed under: uncultured bacterium
Lineage: Bacteria
Description: partial 16S ribosomal RNA
Rfam family: Bacterial small subunit ribosomal RNA
Source: RNAcentral